This is an RNA transcript of Brachypodium distachyon (stiff brome), 1200 nucleotides long. RefSeq lists it as uncharacterized. Lineage: Eukaryota; Viridiplantae; Streptophyta; Magnoliopsida; Poales; Poaceae. The record is from RefSeq and is a predicted model, not a curated record. The transcript is spliced from 3 exons.
CAUCCGGCCAUUCCUCUAUUCUCUUGGUCAGGACAAGAAACUGAGAAAGAAGAGGGUCGAAGCAAAUCGGCGCCGGCGGCGAGUGCGGCUGCUGGAGGAGUUUUCUUCUCCGAGUCCGGUUAAGUUGUUUUAAUCCUCGAUUUCAGUCUUGAGAUCCGAAUCGAUUCGCUGCAGGUCGACUCGGAUCGUACGGUUCGAUUCCGAGUCUAAGUGCUGUCUGUGGCGAUUGAUAUAUAUGGCAGGGGCAGGGCAAUUUUCCAGCGAACCAAGAUACUAAUUAAACUCGAUGGGAAUCGAUCACGAUGCUAUUUCCAAGUGGCAUUUGAGCGGGGCGCCAAUCGAUUACGAUGUAAUGUCCAAGUGGAUGGGGUUUGAUACGGAAGAAGAAGUGGAUACGACCAAGAAGAAUGUGAGGAAGAAGACCAAGAUUAAGACGGUGAUUCGCGAGAUGACCCCAGAAAUUUUGGCUAUGCUAGACUACAAAGUGAAACCCGUGCCUCCAUCGAUGUUUGAACAGAAUCCCAAGAAAGCCCUCUUUAAGAGGAACGUCAACGACCGUAUUCUGAUGCUGCAGGACAAGAUUAGACGUGAGUACGACGAGGUUAAGGGCUAUUAUACGUACCAGGUAGAGGUCACCGACGACGAGGAGGAGGUGGAAGAUGCAGCUGCCCACGGCCACAAGGAAGAUUUUUUUGAGAAUCACAAGGAGGAGUAUGAGAUAGUUCCUCCGCUUGUUCCAUUAGCACGAGGGCGAAGAAGAUACCGUCCUGGAGUCGUCAAGCAAGCAACUGGCUGUAAGAAAUUAGCUUAGAUCAAGCUAAGGAAGGUGUUUUAGCCAACCCCAAGUGCUUCAUCACUCUGGUAACCUUGCUCGAUGUGAUCCAUGCUAAAUCACUGUGUAAUUUCCUGCAAAACUUUUCAGGAAGAAAGAUCAUCAGCUUAGGCUCGUUCCAAAAUAAGAAAUGCUGAAAAUAAAAAGAAAUUUAGUUAAUCUGAUUAUGUUUGUUAAAUUCUGAACCUAUUUUUGUACUCCCUCCGAUUUACAAAGUUGUACUACCUCUGAGAUACUUAUUAUGAAUCGGAGGGAGUACUUGUUAGCAGAGUAUGCUGGGCUGUGUGCACUCUAAUUAUGCAGAGGCUGAGAGUGUUUUCGGUAUGAUUGUAUCACCAUAGAUGUAAUUGUCUGAGUUCAGUAAAAAA